Molecule: transfer RNA, 58 nt
Filed under: Poecilia formosa (Amazon molly)
Lineage: Eukaryota; Metazoa; Chordata; Actinopteri; Cyprinodontiformes; Poeciliidae
Rfam family: tRNA
About the family: Transfer RNA (tRNA) molecules are approximately 80 nucleotides in length.
Source: Rfam by way of RNAcentral
UGGCACAAUCUGUAGCGCAUUUGGCUGUUAACCAAAAGAUUGGUGGUUCAAGCCCACC